CAUAGCUUCCAACAAGCCCCCCCCCACCUCUGAGGAUGCACCCCAAAGCUAGAGAAUUCCUGCUCUGAGCCAUCUCUGAAAGCACCAAGAGCCAGCUCACGGAGGAGAUGCCAGCUCACGGAGGAAAAUCUGGAAGGUGUUGAAGCAUAGACGCUGGAACAUAAAAUGACUCAUGAUCUCACUGGGAGAAGGGCUGGGAACAUCGUGGGCUCUCUUCUCCCCGCGCUCCUCUCUCCGGGUCUCUGUUUCCCUCAUUCCACGAUGUUUGGAACCAUCGGCGCACUACAUCAGACUAGAGGUCUGGGGUCACCCGACCAUCCCGCCACAAGCCCCUCCGAGGCAUCACUGUGUCCAGAUUUUGCAAACUGCACCUCCUGAAGGGGCUGGGGUCUGUCCACUUCGCCCCAUCUGCCGUGGCAGCACUUCCUCCGUGGUUCGCACCCCCACAGCAGCCUCCUGGGAAGGCACCUCCCUGGGGCCCCUCUCAGUCCACGGUGUGGAUAUGGUCAGGAAGAUUCCUGCAGCUGCUGAGUUAGUACUUUUAAGAAAGUACUGGAUUCCCUCUCACAAUGGGACUUUGAUUUUUUUAAGAAAAAGGUUUCAUAAGUUUUCAAAUAACCUGGAGCAGUUGAGCAAACUUAAUGUGCAGCGUGGUCCCUGCUGGCUGGGUUUGAGGGGCUGGGUCUCUCUGAGUGGAUGCUGGUGAGGUGCAGAGGAAGAAGAAAAGGUGCCUGAGGGCCUGUGUGGAAGGCCUGUCACACAGCACAUCCUGGGAAAUCUGUCCAGGAAGCAGCCAGGCGGGCAUCAGCCAGGCGGGCAUCAGCAUCUUCACUGUGCAGAUGAGAAACUGAGGCCGCAGAGCGUUUCAGCAUCUCUAUAAAACCCUCACAGGUGAUCCCUAGAAACACAGCCAGUGGCCCGGAAGCUGCACUGUUUUGUGCACCGCAGGGAUGGGCACAGAUGGGGCUGCCUGCCCUCCUCCUGGAAGGAGGGAGAACCCAGUCUGGCCUGGAGUGGUCAAGAGCUAACUCUAGACUCAGCAAGACCUACUUCUCUCUCCUGCCCCUACUUCCUUGCUGCUGACCUGGGCAAGUCGCUGAAGCCUCUCCGUGCCUCAGUCUGCUCGUGCGUAAGAUGGGCACAGGGCACACUGCCUACUUGAUUGGGCUCAACCACGUGCAGUAAGUAGCUGGUGUCUGGCAAGAGCCCUCAGGAAACAGUAACCCCAUUAAUUCAAAUGCACGUGCCUGGAACAGGCUCUGGGGGGCCAGCCCGGGAGUCCCACUCCAUGAUGGCCACCCUGGGGCCUGGCAGGCUGGGCUGGCAUCCCAGGCCCACCGGAUACUGGCUGUGCACCCCGGCCAGGCCACACAUCUCUGAGCCUCACUUUCCCGUGUGUGAGAUGAGGCUAGAAGCUGCUUUCUCUUGCGUGUGUGGGGAUUGGCGGUGACAACACGGCCAGGAGCCCAGGCCCAGCCUACGCGAGCAGCCUCGCUCCAGGCCACACGCCCCACUCCUGACAGCUCUGUGCAGCGAGUUCGUGCGCGAGCGGGUGGCUGUCUGCCAGGCGAGGGGCGCGGGUGCCCAAGAGGGCUUCACUGCUUCUGGAAAGAUCACAAGGAAAAACCACCUCCGCGGCGGGACGCUACCCGCGGGCCGCUGCGGUCCCGCUCGCGGCCGGCAGGGGGCAGGAUGUCCCCGCGAGUCGCCCGUGUCUUCGGGUGUCCUCAGGUCACCCCGCACCGCUCGCAGCCUCCGCGCCUAGUUAAAGGGCGACGCACUCAUUUCUGCAAAGAAGGAGCCCAGCGGCCCCUCCCCGGGGAACUCUUUCCAUCAACUCGGGGCCUAAUAAUUUACAUUUAAUUUGUUAGCGGUUUAAUGUUUAAUUUUAAAAGCGAGAUGAUUCAUUACCAUAUUAAUAAAUAAUAACAUUUAUUAUUCUCCUAAUGAGUGUCCAAAAUACAGAAGCAAUUACAUGUUUUAUAUAUUUUCUCGUAAUUUGAGACACCAGAGCGUUAAUUACAGAGACUCACGCGUGGACCCCAUUCUGAUCCAGGGUCCUGAUCCUGCCUUUGUUUCGGUCUCUGAACCAGCCGCCCUCCGGGGCUUCUGCAAUUCCCUCAAUUAGAGGAGAGGAAGUCGUACGUGACGAAGCUGGGGCUCUCACAGAACCCCGGCGCCCCAGACCCAGGAGCUGCAAGACCUCAGCUCCCCGUGCCCACACUCGGAGACCCAGGCCCCUCCCAGUCCCCCGU
RNAcentral lists this long non-coding RNA (2255 nucleotides) under Homo sapiens (human). RNAcentral's name for it is "non-protein coding LINC02320:21". Lineage: Eukaryota; Metazoa; Chordata; Mammalia; Primates; Hominidae. The record is from RNAcentral.